Molecule: ribosomal RNA, 91 nt
Filed under: uncultured bacterium
Lineage: Bacteria
Description: partial 16S ribosomal RNA
Source: RNAcentral
CACCACGAAAGUUGAUUGUACCAGAAGUCGCUGAGCUAACCUUGAGCAAUCGGGGAGGCAGGCGCCUAAGGUAUGAUCAAUGAUUGGGGUG